Molecule: ribosomal RNA, 403 nt
Filed under: bacterium
Lineage: Bacteria
Description: partial 16S ribosomal RNA
Rfam family: Bacterial small subunit ribosomal RNA
Source: RNAcentral
UGGGGAAUAUUGCACAAUGGAGGGAACUCUGAUGCAGCGACGCCGCGUGAACGAAGAAGGCUUUCGAGUCGUAAAGUUCUUUUAUAUGGGAAGAUAAUGACGGUACCAUAAGAAAAAGCUCCGGCUAACUACGUGCCAGCAGCCGCGGUAAUACGUAGGGGGCUAGCGUUGUCCGGAAUCACUGGGCGUAAAGGGUUCGCAGGCGGAAAUGCAAGUCAGGUGUAAAAGGCAGUAGCUUAACUGCUGUAAGCAUUUGAAACUGCAUAUCUUGAGAAGAGUAGAGGUAAGUGGAAUUUUUAGUGUAGCGGUGAAAUGCGUAGAUAUUAAAAAGAAUACCGGUGGCGAAGGCGGCUUACUGGGGUCAUUCUGACGCUGAGGAACGAAAGCGUGGGUAGCAAACAGG